This 1095-nucleotide ribosomal RNA is filed under the name Escherichia coli. RNAcentral's name for it is "bacterial SSU rRNA". It matches the Rfam family "Bacterial small subunit ribosomal RNA", at positions 95 to 1187 of the family's 1533-position model. Lineage: Bacteria; Pseudomonadati; Pseudomonadota; Gammaproteobacteria; Enterobacterales; Enterobacteriaceae. The record is from RNAcentral.
GUGGCGGACGGGUGAGUAAUGUCUGGGAAACUGCCCGAUGGAGGGGGAUAACUACUGGAAACGGUAGCUAAUACCGCAUAACGUCGCAAGACCAAAGAGGGGGACCUUCGGGCCUCUUGCCAUCGGAUGUGCCCAGAUGGGAUUAGCUAGUAGGUGGGGUAACGGCUCACCUAGGCGACGAUCCCUAGCUGGUCUGAGAGGAUGACCAGCCACACUGGAACUGAGACACGGUCCAGACUCCUACGGGAGGCAGCAGUGGGGAAUAUUGCACAAUGGGCGCAAGCCUGAUGCAGCCAUGCCGCGUGUAUGAAGAAGGCCUUCGGGUUGUAAAGUACUUUCAGCGGGGAGGAAGGGAGUAAAGUUAAUACCUUUGCUCAUUGACGUUACCCGCAGAAGAAGCACCGGCUAACUCCGUGCCAGCAGCCGCGGUAAUACGGAGGGUGCAAGCGUUAAUCGGAAUUACUGGGCGUAAAGCGCACGCAGGCGGUUUGUUAAGUCAGAUGUGAAAUCCCCGGGCUCAACCUGGGAACUGCAUCUGAUACUGGCAAGCUUGAGUCUCGUAGAGGGGGGUAGAAUUCCAGGUGUAGCGGUGAAAUGCGUAGAGAUCUGGAGGAAUACCGGUGGCGAAGGCGGCCCCCUGGACGAAGACUGACGCUCAGGUGCGAAAGCGUGGGGAGCAAACAGGAUUAGAUACCCUGGUAGUCCACGCCGUAAACGAUGUCGACUUGGAGGUUGUGCCCUUGAGGCGUGGCUUCCGGAGCUAACGCGUUAAGUCGACCGCCUGGGGAGUACGGCCGCAAGGUUAAAACUCAAAUGAAUUGACGGGGGCCCGCACAAGCGGUGGAGCAUGUGGUUUAAUUCGAUGCAACGCGAAGAACCUUACCUGGUCUUGACAUCCACGGAAGUUUUCAGAGAUGAGAAUGUGCCUUCGGGAACCGUGAGACAGGUGCUGCAUGGCUGUCGUCAGCUCGUGUUGUGAAAUGUUGGGUUAAGUCCCGCAACGAGCGCAACCCUUAUCCUUUGUUGCCAGCGGUCCGGCCGGGAACUCAAAGGAGACUGCCAGUGAUAAACUGGAGGAAGGUGGGGAUGACGUCA